ACAAAUAGCUGGUCUAUAUCAUAAGCAAUGUCAAGGUCAAAAAAGACUAAGAAACUCUUCCAAUUUAAAGAAGGCUAAAGAGUUGUGAUGACUAAGUGCCAUACAGAAUCCUGGAUUAGAUCCUGGACAGGGAAAAAUAUGUAAGCACAGCUGAUUGAUUGAAAUAUGGAUUAUAGAUUAGAUAAUACUAUUACAAUGUUAAAUGUCCUGAGUUUGCUAAUUGUAUUGUGGUCAUAUUGUGGUCAUGUAUGGAAGUGUCUUUGUUCUUCAGGAAAUAAACACUGAUAUGUUUAGGGUUUAAAGGGCAUGAUGCGUCCAAUACAAUCUCAAAAAGGUCAGAAAAUCAUUUAUAUAUAGUAUACAAAUAUUUAAAUAUUUAUAUGCAGAGAAAAAAUUUAUAAAGCAAAUAGUGAAUUGAACUGAUUCUUGUGGAUAAAAAAUUUCUAGUCAUUUCUCCCUCUCGCUGGGAAUUUCUUGUAUUAUCCUUGGAACUUUUCUAUCAGUUUAAAAUUAUAUCAAAAUUACAAAUUGCCCAAAGCAAAGAGGGGAAGACAGACACACAAACCUCUACUUUUUUAGAAGUAGUACUAAACUAAAAUUGGAGAAAGAUAAGUACUAAUUUUCCAAAUAACCUUUUGAAAAGUAAUAAGGGAAGCCAGAUGUGGUGGCAUUCACCUGUAAUCCCUCCCAGUUUGGGAGGCUGAGGCAGGAGUAUUACAAAUUCAAGGCCAGCCUCAGCAACUUAAUAAGACUGUUAUGGUUUAGAUAUGAGAUGUCCCCCAAAAGCUCAUGUAUGAGACAAUGCAAGAAUGUUCACAGCUGAGGGGCUGGGGAUGUGGCUCAAGCCGUAGCUCGCUCACCUGGCAUGGGUGCGCCCUGGGUUCGAUCCUCAGCACCACAUACAAAC
Molecule: long non-coding RNA, 907 nt
Filed under: Marmota monax (woodchuck)
Lineage: Eukaryota; Metazoa; Chordata; Mammalia; Rodentia; Sciuridae
Source: RNAcentral